UGUGUUCGAUAAGUCAUAACGACUCUCGGCAACGGAUAUCUCGGCUCUCGCAUCGAUGAAGAACGUAGCGAAAUGCGAUACGUGGUGUGAAUUGCAGGAUCCCGUGAACCAUCGAGUUUUUGAACGCAAGUUGCGCCCGAAGCCGUUAGGCCGA
RNAcentral lists this ribosomal RNA (154 nucleotides) under Laportea bulbifera. RNAcentral's name for it is "5.8S ribosomal RNA". The stretch from base 21 to 154 matches the Rfam family "5.8S ribosomal RNA", at positions 1 to 132 of the family's 154-position model. From Rfam's summary of the family: 5.8S ribosomal RNA (5.8S rRNA) is a component of the large subunit of the eukaryotic ribosome. It is transcribed by RNA polymerase I as part of the 45S precursor that also contains 18S and 28S rRNA. The record is from RNAcentral. Lineage: Eukaryota; Viridiplantae; Streptophyta; Magnoliopsida; Rosales; Urticaceae.